Molecule: long non-coding RNA, 1022 nt
Filed under: Homo sapiens (human)
Lineage: Eukaryota; Metazoa; Chordata; Mammalia; Primates; Hominidae
Description: HSALNT0098368
Source: RNAcentral
GGGAAACCAGAGAGUCAAUUACUCCACCUCCGCCUGGUCCAGGAGGAGCAACUGUGGCAAGUCCAGCAGGGUCACCCUCUCUAGCUGCUGGGAGCUGAGAUUUCCACUCCAGCUUCUUUGGCUGCCUUGGGGAAAUCAACGGAGUUUCCAGGAGUGUGAUGGGAAUGGUCAAGCUAUCUCCCGCCCAGCAAUAAAACCAGAUGUGGAAGCAGAUGGUGGUGACCAGGAGAGCAUUCAAGCUACAGGCAGAGACUCUCGUCCCACUCUCAACCCUUGUCUUAGAAUUACUGGACCAGAGGAAAACAGUCCCUUUAACUGAAAGCAGUGGAAGAACAGGGUAAAGUUUUCCUGAACUACAACCCAGGAGAUCCCCAGAGACAGAAGCAAUCAGAUCUCACACUCUGGCUUCUGCCAGCUUGGAAGUUUUUCACUAGAAAAGGAGGGAAUAGAGCGAGAGGAUGCCAUUUCUAAGUAUUGUGCCCCAUUUUCUUUCCUUUUUUUUUUUCUUUUUGUUUGUUUUUGAGACAGAGUCUCGCUCUGUCGCCAGGCUGGAGUGCAGUGGUGCGAUCUUGGCUCACUGAACCUCUGCCUCCUGGGUUCAAGCAAUUCUGCCUCAGCCUCCCAAGUAGCUGGGACUACAGGUGCAUGCCACCAUCCCCAGCUAAUUUUUGUAUUUUUAGUAGAGACAGGGUUUACCAUGUUGGCCAGGAUGGUCUUGAUCUCCUGACCUCAUGAUCUGCCUGUCUUGGCCUCCCAAAGUGCUGGGAUUACAGGUGCGAGCCACUGUACCCGGUCCAGUUCGCCAAGUUAAAGCUUCUCUGUACCCUAGUUUCUGUGCCCCAUUUUCUUUAACCCUGUUUUCUUAUCCUCCACCAUCACUCAAGCCAUCAGAUGCUAUCCCAGUUCCUCAGAGGAGGGAAUGGGGGCUCAGAGGGGUGAGAUCAUUAGCUAAAUUCACACACUGGUGAGUGGCAAACAGAAAUGCCAAUCUGGUCUGAAUGAUCUCCUCGCCUCCAUCACAG